CAUAUGUUUGUCACUAAUAUUAGUAUACGGAAGGAUUUCCUGUACAUGAUGUUUGUUUGAGAAAAAACCUUUAGUUAUGGUUUCUCCAUGUGAACUAUUCUGACGGAAAUAUGUCAAUCAGGUACUCCACUAUUAUGCAGCUCUAAAAGUAAUUAUUUGUCUUUAGAGACUACUUUGUGUCGAUUCAGUUAUAUCUUUAUUCACCUUUUUCAACUAGGCUGAUCCAUACUCUUAUGGAACUAAUUUUGGUGUGCCAUAGGUAAUAGGUGGUGAAAUCUCUUCCCUCGAACUGAUGAAAAUAUUUCCCUUUUUUCCUUGCAGCCUUACUAAUUAGUUUUGCAACUCUGCUCCUACAGUAUACAUUUAACCAGUGAUGGAUGUGGAUACACAUCUGACAUAUGUUUCUGUUGUACCAGUGUUUCCUGGUAUGUUUCUGUUCUUUUCUCAAAUUUGCUUUCAUUCCAGUUACUAUUUGGCGCUCAGAUACAAAGUAUUUAGCCACGAACGUUUGAAUUUAUAGAGAUGUUAUCACACUUAUAGUUAAGAAGCUUAUGCCAUAUGAUGGCAGUAUUAACCCCUUCAUGAAAAUGUGUUUAAAAGGUAAUGAAAAUCAGCUGCUGGAUGCUCAUUUACGUUCCUUUUUUCCCUGUUCUUGUUGUACACAGUACAAAUCAGUUUCCAUAAUUUCUGGUAUGGUUGCUUCAAUGAUGAUUUUUCCAGAAGCACUUGCCUUUGGAAUUAAAGAAGAUCGGUUUAUGACACGGACCAGAGAUCAUACAAAGGGGUGAGCUAAUUAUGUUAUAUUGUGCUUCAUGCUAUUCUAUCACGGUUUGCGUCUUAAAAAUUUCCCUACAGAUUUCAGGGCUAGAAAAUAUGCUAAAGACAGAUACAGAGAAGACAAUCAGUGCAUCAAUAACAUUUAUGUAUAUCAAUGCAGUCUAUGAUGUAUGCUGUCAAUAAUUAUGAAUAUCAGUGCAGUCUAUGAUGUAUGCUGUCAAUAACAUUUUAUAAUUCUUUGGUAACAUCACCCAAAACUAUUUAUUUGUCUUCUCUAUUUUAUUACAGUUAACUUUGUUUUAGAUAGGGUGUUAAUAGAAAACAUUCAUUAUUUUCAUCAGCUAUAAGUGUACAUUAUGCAAAUGACAGUAACAAAAAUAGCAUGACCCAAAUUCAGGUGAGGACCCAACCAAGAGACUGUUGAUGAGAUCAAUGACACCAUAUGGAUGGACAGGCAGAAGCGGAGCAUCUCACGAAGCAGCCAACGAACAAGAGGAGCAAAGACAUCAUCUCUUGCAUCGCCGUAAACAUCCGCUGCUAGCAGUGUUUCAGCCG
This 1332-nucleotide long non-coding RNA is filed under the name Hordeum vulgare. RNAcentral's name for it is "long non-coding RNA (HVUL_LNC005630)". The record is from RNAcentral. Lineage: Eukaryota; Viridiplantae; Streptophyta; Magnoliopsida; Poales; Poaceae.